This 203-nucleotide unclassified non-coding RNA is filed under the name Hevea brasiliensis (rubber tree). Lineage: Eukaryota; Viridiplantae; Streptophyta; Magnoliopsida; Malpighiales; Euphorbiaceae. The record is from RNAcentral.
AUGGUACGGCAUGUGGUUUACUGGAUUCAAAAGCAAUCCAACGAUUCAUUGAUUUUGUACUUCUGAAUCACUAUCAUCGCUCUGAGUUGGAAUAUUAUGCUGGCAUCAUCUUCAAAUGCUUGGCCUCACAUUGAGACGAGACGCUAGCUUUUGACCCAGAGAUCUGUCACACUCAGUCCAGUAGGAGAUCCAGAUACUACGAA